UACGAAGGGGGCUAGCGUUGUUCGGAAUUACUGGGCGUAAAGCGCACGCCGGUGGAUUUAUAAGUCAGGGGUGAAAUCCCGGGGCUCAACCUCGGAAUUGCCUUUGAUACUGUCUAUCUUGAGUCCGGGAGAGGUGAGUGGAAUUCCUAGUGUAGAGGUGAAAUUCGUAGAUAUUAGGAAGAACACCAGUGGCGAAGGCGGCUCACUGGCCCGGUACUGACGCUGAGGUGCGAAAGCGUGGGGAGCAAACAGG
This 253-nucleotide ribosomal RNA is filed under the name uncultured bacterium. RNAcentral's name for it is "partial 16S ribosomal RNA". It matches the Rfam family "Bacterial small subunit ribosomal RNA", at positions 524 to 776 of the family's 1533-position model. The record is from RNAcentral.